Molecule: ribosomal RNA, 498 nt
Filed under: uncultured archaeon
Lineage: Archaea
Description: bacterial SSU rRNA
Rfam family: Archaeal small subunit ribosomal RNA
Source: RNAcentral
AUGCACGCAAGUGCGAUGGGGGGACUCCGAGUGCAGUCUUCCAAAACGGAAGGCCGCUUUUCUGCACUUUAAGCAGGUGCCGAAACAAGGGGUGGGCAAGACGGCUGCCAGCCGCCGCGGUAAUAGCCGCACCCCGAGUGGUAGUCAUUGUUAUUGGGCUUAAAGUGUUCGUAGCCGGACACACAAGUCUGCUGUGAAAUCCAUGCGCUUAACGUAUGGACAUGCAGCGGAUACUGUGUGUCUAGGAACCGGACGGCGUCGAGGCUAUUCCCGGGGUAGGGGUGAAAUCCUAAAAUCCUGGGAGGAGCACCUGUGGCGAAAGCGCUCGACGAGUACGGAUUCGACGGUGAGGAACGAAAGCCAGUGGAGCAAAGCGGAUUAGAUACCCGCGUAGUACUGGCUGUAAACAUUGUGCGUUUGAUGUCGGACAACCUCCGAGGUUGUCCGGUGCCGAAGUGAAAACGUUAAACGCACCGCCUGGGGAGUACGGUCGCAAGG